Molecule: non-coding RNA, 7545 nt
Organism: Sus scrofa (pig)
Lineage: Eukaryota; Metazoa; Chordata; Mammalia; Artiodactyla; Suidae
Source: RefSeq, a predicted model, not a curated record
GCGGCCCGCACAGCGCCUACGCAGUGCCCCGCAGGGGCUCCGAGCGCUCCCCGCACCGCCCCCCCCGCCCCGCCCGCGCAGCCCGAGCGCGCGCAAGUCCCAGUGGGCCCGCCUCUGCGUGCGAACGUGCGUGCGUGCCGUGAGCUCGCGGGGCACCUCGGGCCUCGCCUUGCCCUCGCCCUCAGCCCCUGUGCUUGCUCUGCGUAGGUUGUCUUCAACCCUCUGGCCUCCCUGCCCCGCUUCGCGUGUGCCCACCCGCUAGGCAACGCAAGCCCGCGCCCCGGCCGGCUUCCCCCUUCUAAAUUUAAAGACGGUGCAGCGUUCACGCCUCCCGCCCCAGGUGCCUUCUCAGGCAAAUCUCCGCGCCAGAGAUGCCUCGCCACCGAGGACCACGGCGACGGUGGGUCAAGUCCGGAGCCUGACCAGUCCGGAGAGUGAUAAGUGAGUUCUGGAGGCUAGUCUGAGAUCAAGGUGUUGGUUUCUUCUGAGGGCUAUGAGGAAGAAUCCGUCCCACGCCUGUUCCCUAUGUUUUGUUGAUAGCAGCGAGUCCUUGGUAUUCUGAGGCUUACAGAUGCCUCAGUUAGUCUCUGCCUUUGUCUUCACGUGGCCUUCUCCCCGUGUGUUUCUCUCGCCUCUUCUUUGAAGGACACCAGCCAUACUGGAUUAAGGGCCCAUCCUACUCCGUUUGUUGCCAAGAUCUUGGAUCAUCCUUACGAGCAUUACUCUGAAGUCUUUUUCAGCUCCCAAUUCCUGUUCUUCGGAAUUACUUUCCAAAAUAAACUAUCUGCACACAAACUCUGUUUCAGACUCUGCUUUUGAGACUAAUACACUAAGAAUAUAGAAUACUUGUACAAUAUAACCAGCAACCUUGACCUGACUGACAUGUAUAAAACAUUGCACCCAAACAAUGUAAAAUCUAUGAUCUUUUCAAGUGUAUAUGGAACAUUCAUCAGCAUUAAAUAUAUGCUAAGUGAAGGACAAGUUGUAAAAUUCAAAAGUAUCAAAUUCAUAGAGUAUUUAUUGCUCUGACCACGGUGGAAUUCAGUUAGAAAUAAUAAUAAAAAAGGAUAACUGAAAAUAACCGAUGUGUUGAAAAUAAACAGUAAAUAAUCUUUGGGUCAAAAAGAAAAUCAACAAAAAUUUAGAAAAAAAAAUUGAAAUUAGUAGUAGUAAAAGUAUACCACCUCAAAACCAAACAGCUAACAUACCAAGAGGAAAAUUUACAUUUUUAUAUUUCAUUUGUUAUCAAAAAAAGCUGAAAAGUCAAUACAAUUUUAUUACCUAUAUCCACCAUGUUAGAAAUAGUAUACUAAUUAAACCAAAGUAGAAUGAUUGAAAUAAUGAAGGCAAGAGAAAAGGCUGUUGAAACAGAAAACAGAUGUCUCUUGAAUUUAUGCUUUGGUAAUGCUGAAUGACUUGGCGUUCCCCAAGCACCAUCCUUUCUUCUGCCCUUUUUGGAUGUAUAGCUGCUUAUGCUCAUAAAGCCCUGUCUCAGUUUGUCCAGUGAUGGAAUAUAACCUGCCCUUGAGAUCUCAGUUCAAAUGAAGCUGUCGCUGCCUUCCCAGGACAGACUUGACAGCUUCUCUUACCACCCACAUCUCUCUCUCCAUUUCAGCACUUUGCUAUUGGUAAAGUGAUUAUGAGCUGGCAGUCUAUGAUCUUCUAUCACCAGGGUCUGGCACCUAGUAAGUACCCAUCAAACUACUCUUGACUGAUAAAGUGAGUGAGUGGCAGUUUAUCCAGAAACCUGGAGACUGAGAGGAAUAGGUAAUUUUGAUACCCAGAUAGACAACAAGCAUUGUCACUGAAAGCACUCAUAUGAGAAAAGGUACAGAACUGGAGGAGAUAGUUACAAUCAUGUGUCUUGUGAUUAACAAGGGAUUCAUUCUGACUGGAUAGAAAAGGCUUUGAAAUCAGGAUGGGGAAUUAUUAAACAACUGGAAGAAUAUACCGAAAUGAUGGCUCGUGACAUCCUGGAAUACAAAAUGAAGAUGGGACUGACCUUUGCGGCCCUCAGCUCCCAGAGCAUAAUGAAAAUGGCAGGAUGGCAUUCUCACAGGGCUAGGAAACCCCAGGGCACAGAACUACCACUGCUCUGGGAACAGAGUGAAGGGUCCCAGAAUCCCUCAGAUAAUGUCAGAGGAUUGGGACAGGCUGGAGGCUGUUCCAAGUGCUAGAAAGGGCUUUUUAUUUCUUUUGGCUUUUUAGAGUUUUGAUACAACUUAAGGGAAGACAAUUCUGGUUCACAAACUGUUGGAAGAGGUACAUGAUCUUGGGGGCUAAUAAAAUGCCUGUACUAAUAAUGGGUAACUUUGAAUACUUACUAUACCUGAUACCUCACACCCCCAUCUCUUAUUUAAGCCUCGCCAUUCUUGUGCCCAUUUGACAGAUGAAUGGGAGAGGGGAUCUAAGAGAGGUGAAGAAAUUUGCCCCAAACACAAAGCGGGUAAGGGAUCCUACUGGGAUUCCAAUGCAGCUUGAUUCUGAGCUCUUAACUAUGCUCUUAAUCCACCUACCUCCCAAAUGCAUGGUCUGAAUAAGGGUUCUGUAAGAAAAGGAUAGCCCUUUGCCAGGCCUUGACAAUGCGAUCUUUGCUUUUUAGAUAUUUGUCCUAGGAGAUCCAAUCCUCUCCUCUCCCUUUAACAUUCCUCUUACAAGAACUGAAACAUUAGCCCUUCAGAGAGAUCUUGGUGCUUAGAUCCCUCUCCAUGGAGGCAUCAACAGACCAGCCAGAUGUCCACAAUUAUAUCAAUCACAUGUGGUAUGUAGGAGAAAGAGAAAGCUAUUCCUGGUUGUUUGUGUUAAGAGGUAAGGAAAUGCAGGAAUCAGGAGCAACUAAAAGGAAGAAUCAUCACCUGAGAAAGCAUUGAUUUCACAUCCUGAAGGGCUGAAUGAAGAGUUCCGCAUAACAUCCCCUCCAUUAACUCAGCAGAAGGGAGAGCCUAAAAGAUACUCUGAGUCUAGGCCCUCUGAUUCUUGCCAUGCUUGCUCAAAGCAACUGCCUGACUCCAUUUCUGGCAGGAACCAUAAUGAAACAAUCUUUGUGGGAGCACAUGAAAAGAACAAUGCAGGCUUCCUCCAACAGUCCACCAUAUAUGAGAAGAUCACCAUUGACAGAUUUGGUUCUAAGAUGUGCAGAACUGUCUGUUGUUGGCUGACUGAUACUGAUUGCUGAUAGACUGGCAGCAUUUCAAGGUUUUAAACAUGAUCACUACUGACAAAUUUAUUAGUCUCUUAAGCAAGCUAUCAACAACCUCCAAAGUGACUACCUUAGGGGAUCCCACUAUAAGGAAAGACUAAUCUCAGACUGGAGAAGAUGGACUGCUGUUACUGCAUAGGAGGGCUGGAAGAAGUUAGGAGUUCAAGGUUCCAGCUUCGUCAGAAUCUGCCCAAGUAUAUUCUCACACCAAUUUUCAGAGUCCCAAAUAAUGCCUUAACUUUAUAUGAGAGACCUUGCCAGCCAGGCAAUUCAAAACAUGGUGCAAGCCACCACAAAGUUAGACAUUGGUUUUGCUUUUUUUUUUUUUUUUUAGAAAUCUCAGUCUAGAAAGAAACAGAUGUACUUGAAAGGUCAGUUAUGAUAGUUAUGAGUUGUGUGCUCUGAAUUACAUUAAUGUGUCUGAGUCUCAAUUCUAAAUUUGUAAGAUGACAGUAAUUAAUACCCAUGAGUGUGGUGAGAAAAAAGAUAUGAUAUCUCUGUAUAUUCUGUUUCAGUCAAACAAACUUGAUUCCUAAUGUGAGAGUAGGAAACCCUAACAGCCCAAGAGCAAACCAUCCUUCUACAUCUACAUUCCUGUUCUCUGCUUGUCUCUGGUGGUAGAGCAGAAAGGGCCCUUGAUUAGAAAUGAGGAAAGUGUAAUUCUGAGCUGUGAGCCUGAAUAGCCAGAUUCAUAAAACUGAGAUACCAGUUACCUAUUUCGCAGGAUUGUUGUGAAAGUAAUACUGAAUCUAACACUGUGACAAUAAAUGAUAUGCACAGGCUCGCAACACUGGUAAUUCCAAUGCCACUUGCUCUUUUGAUAAUGUAUGUGAAGUCCAAGUAUAGGGUUUGAUCCCUUUCCCCAUCUACCCUCCUUGGAUCACUCUCUUUGGCCAGUGAAUCUUCAGGGGAAGAGGGGGAUCCAGGAGAAUGUUCGCCAAGUUACAGCAAUCACCCUUUAAGUGGAGUGUGGCUUCCGUCUCAUGAUGGAGUGGAAUCAAAUGGAAUGGAAUGGAGUGGAAACUAACAGAGAGCACUGCACAUGACAAGGAUAAGUACUGUCUCCUGAAACUUUUGAUUCCUUUGCCCGUGUGUAAGUGGGUGCUCGUGUACUCACACAUCCGUAGGUAUAUGCAUUGGGUCUUUCUGCAACAUGUGUUUCCUACUGUGGGCUGUGGCCAUAAAAGCACAUAUGCUUCUGAAUGCUCAGUGUAAAGGCUCUCCCCGACCCAUGUCCCUCAUGGGACCGUAAUUAGCUGCUCUACCUGGGAGAGACAGAUCCUCCAUCGCCCAGCACAGAUGAGGCACCGUGGCUGAGAGCUCAUCCCUGAAGCCAAGGCUUGGGCAUUCAGAACUCAGCUUCACCCCAAGUCAAUCAGAGGGCAUCUUUGGGGGGGAAUUUUCUGAUCAGGAAGAUGGCCAGCCCAGCACGAGGGAAGAAAAUGUGACCACGUAGUUCCUGUGGUUACCAGCCCUGCCCUGCCCUCGCUUGUUGGGAGUUAUAAACCCAAGCCUGGAAAAGAGAAGCAGCCCCUGCCCUGGGCAGCCUCUCUGAGAAGAUGUGUCGUCUUCCUCUCCCUCUGCUGCUCUUCCUUCUAUGCUCCAGAGCUAAAGCUGGUGAGUCUCGGGAUCCUUCCCACUGCAAGAUGCAGGAUCAGCCCCUAAAACAAAGUUUAGUCUGAAGACUGAGUUCCCACUAUGGCGCUGUGGGUUCGGUGGCAUCUUGGCAGUGCUGGGACACUGGUUGAAGCCCUGGCCCAGCACAGUGGUUACGGAUCUGGCAUUGCCGCAGCUGCUGUAGGUUGAACCUGAGGCUCAGAUCUGAUCCUUGGCCAGGGAACUCCAUAUGCUGCGGGGUGGCCAAAAAAGAAAAGAAAAGAAAAAGCUUAGUCUGAGGACAGCUGACUCAUAAACAGAACCUGAGGAUCUCUCCCCAAGAGCCCCGAGUGCAGUUUCCACUUGGACUUUGCCCCCCCGCCCCCAUUCUCUGCAGCCUAUGGUAGUUCCCAGGAACGAGGCACCCCACAUUGAUGGGGGAAAGCCCAGAGCAGGUGGGAGGAAGAGGGUGUCUGCUCCUUAAAUCACGUGUGACACUCCGCUUAUAGUCCUUGUAAUCUGGCUGAUGUGUGAGUGCUCACGGAUAUGGAGAUGGUCGAGACAGGAACCUGGAGAGCUUGUCCUGCAUGUGACAGAGGAGGGCUGAGCAAGCCCAGCAUGGACUGGGGGAAAUUCAUGGUGAAAAGUGACAGCAUGGCGUCUGAGGCCAAGCUGGCUGCCUUGUCUGGGAGAAGGAAUGAGAACUUCUGUGGGGGCUGCAGGUGGGGAAAGCAGAAUCCAGAGCCACCUGAGAGGGAAGAUGGGUAGAACACAGGCUGAGGGUGGAGUCAAAAAAAGCCUCCCCCAGUUUUAACCCAGCUUAUGCAUUCGGUGUUCACGCCCUGGGGUUCUCUGUUCCAGGGGAAUCAUCGGGGGCCCAAAGAGCAAGCCACAUUCUCGCCCCUGCAUGGCCCACCUGGAAACUGUCACUCCCCAGGAUAAGCUGCCGGCUCGUGGUGGUUUCCUGAUAAGAAGGGGCUUUGUGCGGACAGCUGCUCACUGUGCAGGAAGGGAGACUCGGGGGCCUCUUCUGUGCUCUGGGGUGUCUCCUAUGGACCGUCGGAUGCAAAGCCCCCUGCUGUCUUCACCCGGAUCUCCCAUGACGGGCCCUGGACUGCGAAGGUCCUGAAGGAGAAUUAGCCUGGAGCCUGGGCCAACCUGAGUGGAGACCUACCACUGGACUUGAGUCGGUUCUCCUGCCACUCACUCUGGAUCUGCCUCCGGGUCCUGCUGACGUCCCGCCAGGUCCCUAAGCUUCAAGAAGGCUCCUCCAGAUCACAGAAAUCCCAGUAAUUCUCAGGAAAGACUGGGCUUCCAGACCGAGUGUGUGUCUCCUCUCUCCACUGCUCUCUCCUCGCAGCAUCGGGCACUCCAUAAGCCUUGACGGGGGUGCCUGUGUGGUGUGUGUGUGUGUCAAGAGAGAGACAGACAUGCAGAGGACAUAAUGAAGAAAAAUAGGGAAAGAAAGAAGAGAAAGGGGUUCCUCGGUGAGCCAGGACCCGUAUUUCCAACUUGGACAAGAAAUUACACCAGACCCUUGCCUGCCUUCAUCGUCCAUGGGACAUCAAUUCUGACUGACCAGAAUCACGGAGAACACUGUGAACGGAAGGAUGUUCACAGCAUCCCUGACCUCCCCCACUAGAUGCCAGGGCCACAGCCCCCUCUCACCACCAGCGAUGAACCACAACCGUCCCCAGGCAUUGCUAGUGUCCCUCGGGGGAGUGGGAGCAUGUGGCGUGAAGUUGUUGGGCAGGAAUGACCCUGGGUUGGGAAGCAGGGGUGUAGACGCCCGCCUUAGAGAGGCAGUUGGCAUUGCACUGGGCCCCCCUCCCAGACGACCUCGAUAAGAGAAGAUCUACCAUCUGUGGGGCUUUGAUCUGAGAUGUAGAGAUCAUCCCUCACUCACUUCUGCACAACAGAUACAGGGGACUGAUUAGAGGAAAGAGCAUCACACGUUUUGCACGAACAACAGCCACAAACGGCUGCCCCCAAACCACAGUAGUCUGUGUGACAUCAACAAUGCCCAGCAUUUGUGGGGAGGCACAGACUAGAGAGGGUCAGUCCUGCUGAGGGCAGCAAGACACUAUCUCCAAAUCCAGAGUCCAGGGAUAGAACAGCUCUUGAUGAACAGGAAGGAGCCCACCCUGGUACUUCUGUCUGGUUACUUGCUGCUGUGGCAGGAAAUCUGUCUUGGUUAAUGGGCUCAUUCUCAUGCUGAGCGUCAGCCCCACCCCCCUGCUUCUGUGUCCCUACACAGCAGCCUGAAGCCAUCAGUCCCACAGAACCCUCACAGGGAGAGGAUCUGGGACAUGUGGGAGGAGAGGGAGCUGCCACCUUCAUGAAAUUAAGCUGUGACAACAUCUGCGCAGGGCUUGGUAGCUGAGGGGCCCAUGGGGGCCUGCCUUGCCCUCUGACUCCAUGCAGGGUGGCCAACAUUGGGGGGGGGAUGGCAGGGAGGGUGGGGCAGGACCAAGAGUGGGGCUGGCUCAGUCCUUCCCCUUCUCUGUCCUCAGGGGGACUCCAGGGCCCCUCGUGUGUAACAAUGUGGCCCAGGGCAUUGUCUCCUAUGGAAGAAAGGAUGGAACACCUCCACGAGCCUGCACCAAAGUCUCAAGUUUCCUGCCCUGGAUAAAGAAAAUCAUGAAAAGCCUCUAACUGCAGGAGCCAGCUGUCCUGCCUGGAGCUGAUCCAGAGUCACUUGGGGCUUGGGGUGCCGGCUGCUGAAUAAAUGUCUCUUAGCUGAGCACGAA